UGUUUCCACAGUACUUUCAGUUUCUCUUCGUUUUGUUUUUCUUUUAUUUUUCUUGCUCCUCUUUCUACACAGUGAAGUUGCUGUUGUUUUACAUUUACCUUUUAUUUAUUUGUAGUUUUUGAGGCAGGUUGGAGUGUAAGAAUGUAAUAUCGGCUCACAGCCGCCUCGACUUUCCAGGGCUCCCUCAGGUGAUCUUCCUAUCUCAGCCUUCCAAGUGGCUGAGACUACAGGAGUCACUUAAUUCUGUGAUGUCGAAGCUGAAGCGAGCCGUGAUCAUGCCUUGCCCUCCAGUCUGAGUGUUUCAGAAGGUGGAGUUUCGCUCUUAUUGCCCAGGCUGGAGUUCAGUGGCGCGACCUCAGCUCACCGCAACCUCUGCCGCCUGUGUUCAAGAGAUUUUCCAGUCUUCACCUUUUCGAGUAGCUGAAACCACAGGCAAACACCGCCAGGCCUGGCUUUUUUUUUUUUUUUUUCAUAGAGACUAGGUAGCUCCAUAAUGGUCAGGCUGGUCUAGAACACCCAACCUGAGGCGUACCACCCAACUUGACCACCCAAAGUGCUGAGAUUAAAGGCGUGAGCCCCACGUCCGGCCAUAACAUCUUAUCCUAUAGAAAUCCAGAGAGGUUAGAUGUCGUCUCACAUGUCGAGGUGAUCUCAAACUUUUAGGCUCCAGCGAUCCUCCCACAUCGGCCUCCCAGAGUGCUGUGAUGACACUUUUGGGCACUAUGGAGUUUCACUCUUGUCACCCAGGGUGGAGUACAAUGGCGCGAUCUCGGCUCACCGCAACCUCCACCUCCCAGGUUCAAGUGAUUCUCCUGCCUCAACCUUUCCGAGUAGCUGGAAUGACAGAAAUGUGCCAUCAAGCCCGGUUAAUUUUUAUAUUUUUAGUACAGAUGGGGUUUCUGCAUCUUGGUCAGGCUGGUCUUGAACUUCCGACCAUUGGAGAAUUUUAACUUUCUUGGUGAUUGUUUUUCUUCUGUGUCUGUCUUCUCUCUUACUCUCCUUCUCUGCCUGUCCAUCUGUCUGUCUCUCCCUCCCUUUCUGUUUCUGUCUCUCUCCCUCUGUCUCUCUCUCUUUCUGUUUCUUUC
Molecule: long non-coding RNA, 1085 nt
Filed under: Pan troglodytes (chimpanzee)
Lineage: Eukaryota; Metazoa; Chordata; Mammalia; Primates; Hominidae
Description: lincRNA
Source: RNAcentral